Molecule: ribosomal RNA, 407 nt
Filed under: uncultured bacterium
Lineage: Bacteria
Description: partial 16S ribosomal RNA
Rfam family: Bacterial small subunit ribosomal RNA
Source: RNAcentral
AUUGAACGCUAGCGGCAUGCCUUACACAUGCAAGUCGAACGGAGCGGCGAACGGGUGAGUAAUGCAUAGGAAUGUGCCUAGUAGUGGGGGAUAACUACGGGAAAGCGUAGCUAAUACCGCAUACUAUUGGAUGGGCCGAGAUCGGAUUAGCUAGUUGGUGGGGUAACGGCCUACCAAGGCGACGAUCCGUAGCUGGUCUGAGAGGACGACCAGUCACACUGGAACUGAGACACGGCCCAGACUCCUACGGGAGGCAGCAGUGGGGAAUUUUGGACAAUGGGGGAAACCCUGAUCCAGCCAUCCCGCGUGUGCGAUGAAGGCCUUCGGGUUGUAAAGCACUUUUAGCAGGAAAGCGGUACCUGCAGAAUAAGCACCGGCUAACUUCGUGCCAGCAGCCGCGGUAAUUC